This 374-nucleotide ribosomal RNA is filed under the name uncultured organism. RNAcentral's name for it is "partial 16S ribosomal RNA". It matches the Rfam family "Bacterial small subunit ribosomal RNA", at positions 526 to 896 of the family's 1533-position model. The record is from RNAcentral.
GGAGGGGUGCGAGCGUUAAUCGGAAUUACUGGGCGUAAAGCGCGCGUAGGGCGGCUUGGUCAGUCGGGAUGUGAAAGCCCCGGGCUUAACCUGGGAAUUGCAUUCGAUACUGCCCAGACUAGAGUAUGGGAGAGGGAAGCGGAAUUUCCGGUGUAGCGGUGAAAUGCGUAGAUAUCGGAAGGAACACCAGUGGCGAAGGCGGCUUCCUGGCCCAAUACUGACGCUGAGGUGCGAAAGCGUGGGGAGCGAACAGGAUUAGAUACCCUGGUAGUCCGCGCCGUAAACGAUGAGAACUAGAUGUCGGGAGGAUUUGCCUCUCGGUGUCGCAGCUAACGCGUUAAGUUCUCCGCCUGGGGAGUACGCCGGCAACGGUA